UACGGAGGGUGCAAGCGUUAUCCGGAUUCACUGGGUUUAAAGGGUGCGUAGGCGGACAGGUAAGUCAGUGGUGAAAUCUCUGGGCUUAACUCAGAAACUGCCGUUGAUACUAUUUGUCUUGAAUAUUCUGGAGGUAAGCGGAAUAUGUGAUGUAGCGGUGAAAUGCUUAGAUAUGACAUAGAACACCGAUAGCGAAGGCAGCUUACUACAGAAUGAUUGACGCUGAGGCACGAAAGCGUGGGGAGCAAACAGG
This 253-nucleotide ribosomal RNA is filed under the name uncultured bacterium. RNAcentral describes it as "partial 16S ribosomal RNA". It matches the Rfam family "Bacterial small subunit ribosomal RNA", at positions 524 to 776 of the family's 1533-position model. The record is from RNAcentral.